GCCUGGUUAGCACAGUUGGUAAGAGCGGGGGGCUAAUAAUGCCAAGGUCAAGGGUUUGAUCCCUGUAUGGGCCA
Megalops atlanticus (tarpon) is the source of this 74-nucleotide non-coding RNA. The record is from the annotation of a GenBank genome assembly. Lineage: Eukaryota; Metazoa; Chordata; Actinopteri; Elopiformes; Megalopidae.